AGUGAACGCUGGCGGUAGUCCUAACACAUGCAAGUCGAACGGCAGCACAGUAAGAGCUUGCUCUUACGGGUGGCGAGUGGCGGACGGGUGAGGAAUACAUCGGAAUCUACUUUUUCGUGGGGGAUAACGUAGGGAAACUUACGCUAAUACCGCAUACGACCUACGGGUGAAAGCAGGGGGUCUUCGGACCUUGCGCGAUUGAAUGAGCCGAUGUCGGAUUAGCUAGUUGGCGGGGUAAAGGCCCACCAAGGCGACGAUCCGUAGCUGGUCUGAGAGGAUGAUCAGCCACACUGGAACUGAGACACGGUCCAGACUCCUACGGGAGGCAGCAGUGGGGAAUAUUGGACAAUGGGCGCAAGCCUGAUCCAGCCAUACCGCGUGGGUGAAGAAGGCCUUCGGGUUGUAAAGCCCUUUUGUUGGGAAAGAAAAGCAGCAGGUUAAUACCCCGCUGUUCUGACGGUACCCAAAGAAUAAGCACCGGCUAACUUCGUG
Molecule: ribosomal RNA, 492 nt
Filed under: uncultured bacterium
Lineage: Bacteria
Description: partial 16S ribosomal RNA
Rfam family: Bacterial small subunit ribosomal RNA
Source: RNAcentral